UGGAGCAUGUGGUUUAAUUCGAUGCAACGCGAAGAACCUUACCUGGUCUUGACAUCCCGGAGACCCUUAGGAAACUAGGGGGUGCUUCCAUCUGGAAGAAUCUGGAGACAGGUGCUGCAUGGCUGUCGUCAGCUCGUGUCGUGAGAUGUUGGGUUAAGUCCCGCAACGAGCGCAACCCUUGCCUUUAGUUGCCAGCAGUUCGGCUGGGCACUCUAAAGGGACUGCCGGUGUUAAACCGGAGGAAGGUGGGGAUGACGUCAAGUCCUCAUGGCCUUUAUGACCAGGGCUACACACGUACUACAAUGGCCGAUACAAAGGGCAGCGACACUGCGAGGUGAAGCCAAUCCCGUAAAAUCGGUCUCAGUCCGGAUUGGAGUCUGCAACUCGACUCCAUGAAGUUGGAAUCGCUAGUAAUCGUGGAUCAGCAUGCCACGGUGAAUACGUUCCCGGGCCUU
Molecule: ribosomal RNA, 455 nt
Filed under: uncultured Desulfobulbus sp.
Lineage: Bacteria; Pseudomonadati; Thermodesulfobacteriota; Desulfobulbia; Desulfobulbales; Desulfobulbaceae
Description: bacterial SSU rRNA
Rfam family: Bacterial small subunit ribosomal RNA
Source: RNAcentral